RNAcentral lists this ribosomal RNA (467 nucleotides) under uncultured bacterium. Its description in RNAcentral is "partial 16S ribosomal RNA". It matches the Rfam family "Bacterial small subunit ribosomal RNA", at positions 28 to 507 of the family's 1533-position model. The record is from RNAcentral.
GACGAACGCUGGCGGCGUGCUUAACACAUGCAAGUCGAACGGAAAGGCCCUGCUUUUGUGGGGUGCUCGAGUGGCGAACGGGUGAGUAACACGUGAGUAACCUGCCCUUGACUUUGGGAUAACUUCAGGAAACUGGGGCUAAUACCGGAUAGGAGCUCCUGCUGCAUGGUGGGGGUUGGAAAGUUUCGGCGGUUGGGGAUGGACUCGCGGCUUAUCAGCUUGUUGGUGGGGUAGUGGCUUACCAAGGCUUUGACGGGUAGCCGGCCUGAGAGGGUGACCGGCCACAUUGGGACUGAGAUACGGCCCAGAUUCCUACGGGAGGCAGCAGUGGGGAUAUUGCACAAUGGGCGGAAGCCUGAUGCAGCAACGCCGCGUGCGGGAUGACGGCCUUCGGGUUGUAAACCGCUUUCGCCUGUGACGAAGCGUGAGUGACGGUAAUGGGUAAAGAAGCACCGGCUAACUACGUG